Molecule: ribosomal RNA, 468 nt
Filed under: uncultured bacterium
Lineage: Bacteria
Description: partial 16S ribosomal RNA
Rfam family: Bacterial small subunit ribosomal RNA
Source: RNAcentral
GACGAACGCUGGCGGCGUGCUUAACACAUGCAAGUCGAACGGAGAGGCCCUGCUUUUGUGGGGUGCUCGAGUGGCGAACGGGUGAGUAACACGUGAGUAACCUGCCCUUGACUUUGGGAUAACUUCAGGAAACUGGGGCUAAUACCGGAUAGGAGCUCCUGCUGCAUGGUGGGGGUUGGAAAGUUUCGGCGGUUGGGGAUGGACUCGCGGCUUAUCAGCUUGUUGGUGGGGUAGUGGCUUACCAAGGCUUUGACGGGUAGCCGGCCUGAGAGGGUGACCGGCCACAUUGGGACUGAGAUACGGCCCAGACUCCUACGGGAGGCAGCAGUGGGGAAUAUUGCACAAUGGGCGGAAGCCUGAUGCAGCAACGCCGCGUGCGGGAUGACGACCUUCGGGUUGUAAACCGCUUUCGCCUGUGACGAAGCGUGAGUGACGGUAAUGGGUAAAGAAGCACCGGCUAACUACGUG